This 484-nucleotide ribosomal RNA is filed under the name uncultured bacterium. RNAcentral's name for it is "bacterial SSU rRNA". It matches the Rfam family "Bacterial small subunit ribosomal RNA", at positions 31 to 507 of the family's 1533-position model. The record is from RNAcentral.
GAACGCUAGCGGCAGGCUUAAUACAUGCAAGUCGAGGGGCAGCGCAGUGUAGCAAUACAGUGGGCGGCGACCGGCAAACGGGUGCGUAACACGUACGCUAACCUUCCCGUUACUGUGGGAUAGCCCAGGGAAACUUGGAUUAAUACCACAUAUUGCCAUUGGGAGGCAUCUCUUGAUGGCCAAAGAAUUUCGGUAACGGAUGGGCGUGCGGUUGAUUAGGUAGUUGGCGGGGUAACGGCCCACCAAGCCUACGAUCAAUAGCUGAUGUGAGAGCAUGAUCAGCCACACGGGCACUGAGACACGGGCCCGACUCCUACGGGAGGCAGCAGUAAGGAAUAUUGGGCAAUGGACGAAAGUCUGACCCAGCCAUGCCGCGUGAAGGAUGAAGGUCCUCUGGAUUGUAAACUUCUUUUAUCUGGGGCGAAAACAACUCUUUCUAGAGUUCUUGACAGUACCAGAGGAAUAAGCACCGGCUAACUCCGUG